GGCAGUUCUCAGGUGAUACACCCUGGAAUCGGGCUUCCUCCUCUCUGGUUCCAGAUGUGUCAACUGAGAACCGCA
Non-coding RNA from Myotis lucifugus (little brown bat), 75 nucleotides. The record is from Rfam. Lineage: Eukaryota; Metazoa; Chordata; Mammalia; Chiroptera; Vespertilionidae.